AAUAGAUACCCUGGUAGUCCACGCCGUAAACGAUGUCGACUUGGAGGGUUGUUCCCUUGAGGAGUGGCUUCCGGAGCUAACGCGUUAAGUCGACCGCCUGGGGAGUACGGCCGCAAGGUUAAAACUCAAAAUGAAUUGACGGGGGCCCGCACAAGCGGUGGAGCAUGUGGUUUAAUUCGAUGCAACGCGAAGAACCUUACCUACUCUUGACAUCCAGAGAACUUAGCAGAGAUGCUUUGGUGCCUUCGGGAACUCUGAGACAGGUGCUGCAUGGCUGUCGUCAGCUCGUGUUGUGAAAUGUUGGGUUAAGUCCCGCAACGAGCGCAACCCUUAUCCUUUGUUGCCAGCGGUCCGGCCGGGAACUCAAAGGAGACUGCCAGUGAUAAACUGGAGGAAGGUGGGGAUGACGUCAAGUCAUCAUGGCCCUUACGAGUAGGGCUACACACGUGCUACAAUGGCGUAUACAAAGAGAAGCGACCUCGCGAGAGCAAGCGGACCUCAUAAAGUACGUCGUAGUCCGGAUUGGAGU
Molecule: ribosomal RNA, 529 nt
Filed under: uncultured bacterium
Lineage: Bacteria
Description: bacterial SSU rRNA
Rfam family: Bacterial small subunit ribosomal RNA
Source: RNAcentral